AUUGAACGCUGGCGGCAGGCCUAACACAUGCAAGUCGAGCGGUAGAGAGGUGCUUGCAUCUCUUGAGAGCGGCGGACGGGUGAGUAAUGCCUAGGAAUCUGCCUAGUGGUGGGGGAUAACGUUCGGAAACGGACGCUAAUACCGCAUACGUCCUACGGGAGAAAGCGGGGGGAUCUUCGGACCUCGCGCCAUUAGAUGAGCCUAGGUCGGAUUAGCUAGUUGGUGAGGUAAUGGCUCACCAAGGCGACGAUCCGUAACUGGUCUGAGAGGAUGAUCAGUCACACUGGAACUGAGACACGGUCCAGACUCCUACGGGAGGCAGCAGUGGGGAAUAUUGGACAAUGGGCGAAAGCCUGAUCCAGCCAUGCCGCGUGUGUGAAGAAGGUCUUCGGAUUGUAAAGCACUUUAAGUUGGGAGGAAGGGUAGUAACCUAAUACGUUGCUACUUUGACGUUACCGACAGAAUAAGCACCGGCUAACUUCGU
This 484-nucleotide ribosomal RNA is filed under the name uncultured bacterium. RNAcentral's name for it is "bacterial SSU rRNA". It matches the Rfam family "Bacterial small subunit ribosomal RNA", at positions 30 to 506 of the family's 1533-position model. The record is from RNAcentral.